CUUUUCUUCUGGGUGUCUGAUGUGCCUCCCUCCUGACUCUGCCUGGACCUGGGGGAAUGGCAACUCCCUCUGUUUCAGCAGCUGUCAUGGUUGCUGCUCAGGAAGCCCCAGGAUCGGAUGGAAGCAGGACAGGUGGGACUGUCGGUUGGCAGACUAGAGCUGUCUUUCGCAGUGGCCUGUGGUUUUGCAGCCCUGGACGCCUCUUGGCCUUGACAUACUUUUCUGUAAAUUGAGGUUUUACAGGACCUUGAGAAACCCUGAACACAUGUCCAUGCUGUUGAAGGUGAUGUCCACUGCUCUUUGGAACAGAAUAAACCAGCUGCUUCUGUGGAGCCUGGCAGACCCCUUGGAGCAGUGUCCUUGGAGAGCUUGCUAUUCAACAGGGCAGUCUAUCAGGGAGACAGUAAAAGCCAUGGAAGAAAUUGGAGAGGUACAUCUGACAGUGGCACGAAUGGCAGAGAGCUGGGCAUGGUACGGCCAUGGUCCAUGGGACUAUGCACGAUGGAACCCCAAGGUGACCCUUGAAGUGUGGCCUGGUCCUUCCCUGAGAGGAUCCAACCAUGCACUGGGAUCAAGCCAAGCUCUUCUCUCUUCUCUGUCCAAUGAACUGAGCGAGAUGCUAAAGUAUCCUGUGGGCCAUGGACUGCCUCCUCCUCCAUCCUGCAGAGACUUUUUCCAGGCUUUUGUUGAACUUUCCUCUCCAGCUUCACUCUCCGCCAUUCCCCUGGUAUCUCAAUCACUUUCUUGUUGCUGGGAUACAAUACCUGAUACCCACAGCCUAGAGGAGAGGUUUGUUUUGACUCACGAUAUCUAGGGAUUCAGUCCAUGGUCUGUUGGCUCCACGGCCAUGGAGGUUCGUGGUAGAAGGGUCUGGCAGGGGAAGCUUCUUACGUCACAGCAGCCAGGAAGCAGAGAGAGAAGGGAGGAGCUGGAGAGCAGACACCCUUCCAGGCCAAGCCCCUACUGCCUGCCUCCCCAACUAGGCCUCAUCUCCUGACAGCUCUGGAUUCACCCGUGAUUUAAUCCACUGAUGAGAGAGAUCCUGCCAUCACCCAGUCACCUCCCAAAGCCCACCUCUGAACACAUGAGACUUCUGGGAAUAUUCUUGAUUGAAGCCACAACACCUGGAUGUUGGAGCUGCUCAGAAAACAACUGUAGCUUAGUCCAUUUGAUGAAUCCCAUCCUCCACUGUCCAUCCACCAGCUGGCGAUGCCCAGAUUUGCGUUGCAUACCUCACGCUUGGCUCUAGACUCAGUGCAUCCUGUCUAUAUCCACAAAGGCCCCGCACCCUGCUUUCUCUCAGUGUUCCUGCAGAGAAUGCCCUUUGAGAGUACCCAUUUAGAACCAGGAUGGUAUCUACUCUCCACACUUCCCCUUUGAGGAUCCCCAGUCUUGUUCCUACCUGGGGACAGAAGUGCCAGCGCCCAUCCCUCACCCUGGGUCACUGCCGUGACUCCCAUUCCUCACCCCGUGUGCACAGGCCGACUGUCUGCCAGCCCCUCCCACAGAGGGGAGUGCAGCUUGUCCUUCCCCCUAUAAACUCUUUGGCUUCCCUCAUCAGUUCCCCAGAGCUUUCAAAAUCAAGUUCAGAUUCUGUAGCACAGUGCAGAUGACCCUCUCUGAGCUGGGCGCCUCUGACCUGGUCAUCUUUUGUACCCAUCUCCCUUCUAACUCUGCCAAGCCAUGGACAGCUUCUAGAAUGUGCUGGCCAGUUCCCAAGGUUGCGCCUCUGAAUAUCAAGCUCUUUCUCAAGAAUCCUUUCUUCUCUUUUUCAUUUACUGAAUUUAGGGAAUAAACAGCCAGCCUGAGGUCCUAUCUGGAUUAAAUAUGUACUGGGGAGCUUGCAUCAUGCUAAACCUUUUAACAGCCAGAGGCCAACAUUUAAAAAUCACCAGACUGGUCAUCGCAAAAUAUCUUAACUUCUGCCUUCUAGGUGAUCGGGCAACACUGGGCCAUAGUAAUUGCUGGAGCUGAGGAGCAGAGUAUUCUUUGCUGGGGAGGGGUCUAUGUUACAUUUCGCGCACACCACCCCACUGUCUCCUGCGGGACUGUGAGCUGCACUGCUUUUGCAGGUGGCCUGCCUGGAACCCAACGGCAUUUGCAAGAGAUCCCUGGGCUACCUCCUGCCAGGCAUCGAAACUCAGCCCUUAUCACCUUCUGCAUCAACUUUUGUGACUCAGAAGCCAGUCUCAUACCAGGUUCCACAGGCCUGCAGGGGGUCCCUUCUCAGUGGCAGCAGACAAGAUGCCCACUGAUGAAGUCAAGCGUACGCAGGAGGAGGGACACCCGGGGAAUUGUCUUUUUCCUUGUAAUGGUCAGAAAACAGAAGGGCUGGAACUGGAAAAGAAAUUUGAGGAGAUCUGUGCUUCCUGACUCUGCGAGGCUCUGUCUUGCUGGGCUUGCUGAUGGGCCACCUGAUAGCACGGGAAGAGGAAGCCGGCCCCAGGCCCUGGAAGGACGCUCAGCCGCAGGUGUCCUCGAUUAGGCACCCACCUCCACCUCUCCCACCCCACGCUCUGUUGAUGUUAGAACCAAGUGUCUGAGUGGGGACUUAAGAGUGACUUUGCUGGGAGAGACUCACCGCUGCCUAAGCCCU
Molecule: long non-coding RNA, 2596 nt
Filed under: Fukomys damarensis (Damara mole-rat)
Lineage: Eukaryota; Metazoa; Chordata; Mammalia; Rodentia; Bathyergidae
Description: lncRNA (ENSFDAG00000025905.1)
Source: RNAcentral